RNAcentral lists this ribosomal RNA (484 nucleotides) under uncultured bacterium. RNAcentral describes it as "partial 16S ribosomal RNA". It matches the Rfam family "Bacterial small subunit ribosomal RNA", at positions 30 to 507 of the family's 1533-position model. The record is from RNAcentral.
AUUGAACGCUGGCGGCAGGCCUAACACAUGCAAGUCGAGCGGAUGAAGGGAGCUUGCUCCUGGAUUCAGCGGCGGACGGGUGAGUAAUGCCUAGGAAUCUGCCUGGUAGUGGGGGAUAACGUCCGGAAACGGGCGCUAAUACCGCAUACGUCCUGAGGGAGAAAGUGGGGGAUCUUCGGACCUCACGCUAUCAGAUGAGCCUAGGUCGGAUUAGCUAGUUGGUGGGGUAAAGGCCUACCAAGGCGACGAUCCGUAACUGGUCUGAGAGGAUGAUCAGUCACACUGGAACUGAGACACGGUCCAGACUCCUACGGGAGGCCGCCGUGGGGAAUAUUGGACAAUGGGCGAAAGCCUGAUCCAGCCAUGCCGCGUGUGUGAAGAAGGUCUUCGGAUUGUAAAGCACUUUAAGUUGGGAGGAAGGGCAGUAAGUUAAUACCUUGCUGUUUUGACGUUACCAACAGAAUAAGCACCGGCUAACUUCGUG